UACGUAGGGGGCAAGCGUUGUCCGGAUUUAUUGGGCGUAAAGAGCGUGUAGGCGGCCAGGUAGGUCUGCUGUGAAAACUCGAGGCUUAACCUCGAGCUGUCGGCGGAAACCAUCUGGCUAGAGUCCGGAAGAGGAGAAUGGAAUUCCCGGUGUAGCGGUGAAAUGCGCAGAUAUCAGGAAGAACACCUAUGGCGAAGGCAGCUCUCUGGGACGGUACUGGCGCUGAGACGCGAAAGCGUGGGGAGCGAACAGG
This 253-nucleotide ribosomal RNA is filed under the name uncultured bacterium. RNAcentral describes it as "partial 16S ribosomal RNA". It matches the Rfam family "Bacterial small subunit ribosomal RNA", at positions 524 to 776 of the family's 1533-position model. The record is from RNAcentral.